This 467-nucleotide ribosomal RNA is filed under the name uncultured bacterium. RNAcentral's name for it is "partial 16S ribosomal RNA". It matches the Rfam family "Bacterial small subunit ribosomal RNA", at positions 28 to 507 of the family's 1533-position model. The record is from RNAcentral.
GACGAACGCUGGCGGCGUGCUUAACACAUGCAAGUCGAACGAUGAAGCCCAGCUUGCUGGGUGGACGAGUGGCGAACGGGUGAGUAAAACGUGAGUAACCUGCCCUGAACUCUGGGAUAAGCACUGGAAAAGGUGUCUAAUACUGGAUACGACCUAUCACCGCAUGGUGUGUGGGUGGAAAGAUUUAUCGGUUCUGGAUGGACUCGCGGCCUAUCAGCUGGAUGGUGGGGUAAUGGCUCACCAUGGCGUCGACGGGUAGCCGGCCUGAGAGGGUGACCGGCCACACUGGGACUGAGACACGGCCCAGACUCCUACGGGAGGCAGCAGUGGGGAAUAUUGCACAAUGGGCGGAAGCCUGAUGCAGCAACGCCGCGUGAGGGAUGACGGCCUUCGGGUUGUAAACCUCUUUUGGUAGGGAAGAAGCGAAAGUGACGGUACCUGCAGAAGAAGCACCGGCUAACUACGUG